Molecule: ribosomal RNA, 427 nt
Filed under: uncultured bacterium
Lineage: Bacteria
Description: bacterial SSU rRNA
Rfam family: Bacterial small subunit ribosomal RNA
Source: RNAcentral
UGGGGAAUUUUGGACAAUGGGCGCAAGCCUGAUCCAGCAAUGCCGCGUGCAGGAUGAAGGCCUUCGGGUUGUAAACUGCUUUUGUACGGAACGAAACGGCUCUGGUUAAUACCUGGGGCUAAUGACGGUACCGUAAGAAUAAGCACCGGCUAACUACGUGCCAGCAGCCGCGGUAAUACGUAGGGUGCGAGCGUUAAUCGGAAUUACUGGGCGUAAAGCGUGCGCAGGCGGUUAUAUAAGACAGAUGUGAAAUCCCCGGGCUCAACCUGGUACCUGCAUUUGUGACUGUACAGCUAGAGUACGGUAGAGGGGGAUGGAAUUCCGCGUGUAGCAGUGAGAUGCGUAGAUAUGCGGAGGAACACCGAUGGCGAAGGCACUCCCCUGGACCUGUAAUGACGGUCAUGCACGAAAGCGUGAGGAGCAAACA